AGUGAACGCUGGCGGUAGGCCUAACACAUGCAAGUCGAACGGCAGCACAGUAAGAGCUUGCUCUUACGGGUGGCGAGUGGCGGACGGGUGAGGAAUACAUCGGAAUCUACUUUUUCGUGGGGGAUAACGUAGGGAAACUUACGCUAAUACCGCAUACGACCUACGGGUGAAAGCAGGGGAUCUUCGGACCUUGCGCGAUUGAAUGAGCCGAUGUCGGAUUAGCUAGUUGGCGGGGUAAAGGCCCACCAAGGCGACGAUCCGUAGCUGGUCUGAGAGGAUGAUCAGCCACACUGGAACUGAGACACGGUCCAGACUCCUACGGGAGGCAGCAGUGGGGAAUAUUGGACAAUGGGCGCAAGCCUGAUCCAGCCAUACUGCGUGGGUGAAGAAGGCCUUCGGGUUGUAAAGCCCUUUUGUUGGGAAAGAAAUCCAGCUGGCUAAUACCCGGUUGGGAUGACGGUACCCAAAGAAUAAGCACCGGCUAACUUCGUGCCAGCAGCCGCGGUAAUACGAAGGGUGCAAGCGUUACUCGGAAUUACUGGGCGUAAAGCGUGCGUAGGUGGUCGUUUAAGUCCGUUGUGAAAGCCCUGGGCUCAACCUGGGAACUGCAGUGGAUACUGGGCGACUAGAGUGUGGUAGAGGGUAGCGGAAUUCCUGGUGUAGCAGUGAAAUGCGUAGAGAUCAGGAGGAACAUCCAUGGCGAAGGCAGCUACCUGGACCAACACUGACACUGAGGCACGAAAGCGUGGGGGA
RNAcentral lists this ribosomal RNA (753 nucleotides) under uncultured Gammaproteobacteria bacterium. RNAcentral describes it as "bacterial SSU rRNA". It matches the Rfam family "Bacterial small subunit ribosomal RNA", at positions 28 to 768 of the family's 1533-position model. The record is from RNAcentral. Lineage: Bacteria; Pseudomonadati; Pseudomonadota; Gammaproteobacteria.